GUGGGGAAUCUUGGACAAUGGGGGCAACCCUGAUCCAGCCAUGCCGCGUGAGUGAUGAAGGCCUUCGGGUUGUAAAGCUCUUUCAGUCGCGAUGAUAAUGACGGUAGCGACAGAAGAAGCCCCGGCUAACUCCGUGCCAGCAGCCGCGGUAAUACGGAGGGGGCUAGCGUUGUUCGGAAUUACUGGGCGUAAAGGGUGCGUAGGCGGACCCGCAAGUCAGGGGUGAAAUCCCGGGGCUCAACCCCGGAACUGCCCUUGAAACUGCGGGUCUCGAGGUCGAGAGAGGUGAGUGGAAUUCCGAGUGUAGAGGUGAAAUUCGUAGAUAUUCGGAGGAACACCAGUGGCGAAGGCGGCUCACUGGCUCGACACUGACGCUGAGGCACGAAAGCGUGGGGAGCAA
This 400-nucleotide ribosomal RNA is filed under the name uncultured Rhodovulum sp. Its description in RNAcentral is "bacterial SSU rRNA". It matches the Rfam family "Bacterial small subunit ribosomal RNA", at positions 354 to 771 of the family's 1533-position model. Lineage: Bacteria; Pseudomonadati; Pseudomonadota; Alphaproteobacteria; Rhodobacterales; Paracoccaceae. The record is from RNAcentral.